GUUAGGAAUAUUCGUCAAUGGGGGAAACCCUGAACGAGCGAUGCCGCGUGAAUGAUGACAGCCCUUCGGGUUGUAAAAUUCUGUUGUUUGGAAAGAACAGAGAGAUUAGGAAAUGAGUCUCUUUUGACGGUACCAUUCAAGAAAGCUCCGGCUAACUACGUGCCAGCAGCCGCGGUAAUACGUAGGGAGCGAGCGUUAUCCGGAUUUAUUGGGCGUAAAGCGUGCGCAGCUGGCUUAUUAAGUAUGAAAUUAAAGCCCGGGGCUUCACUACGGGUCGUUGCAUAAACUGGUAGGCGUGAGUGUGGUAGAGGUAAGUUGAAUUUCUAGUGUGGCGGUAAAAUGCGUAGAUAUUAGAAGGUACAUCAGUGUCGAAGGCGACUUACUUCGCCAUCACUGACAGUCAUGCACGAAAGCGUGGGGAGCGAAUAGGAUUAGAUACCCUGGUAGUCC
RNAcentral lists this ribosomal RNA (450 nucleotides) under uncultured bacterium. Its description in RNAcentral is "partial 16S ribosomal RNA". It matches the Rfam family "Bacterial small subunit ribosomal RNA", at positions 354 to 796 of the family's 1533-position model. The record is from RNAcentral.